Molecule: unclassified non-coding RNA, 1421 nt
Filed under: Hevea brasiliensis (rubber tree)
Lineage: Eukaryota; Viridiplantae; Streptophyta; Magnoliopsida; Malpighiales; Euphorbiaceae
Source: RNAcentral
AAGGGGCUCAAACUUUAUGACCCAGGUUAUCUCAACACGGCUCCUGUUCAGUCUUCAAUUUCUUACAUCGAUGGUGACGAGGGUAUCCUCAGAUAUAGAGGCUACCCAAUAGAGGAGUUGGCUGAGAGUAGCACCUUUUUGGAAGUGUCCUACCUCAUAUUGUAUGGGAACUUGCCAUCUGAAAGUCAGUUAGCAGACUGGGAAUUUGCUAUUUCUCAGCAUUCCGCUGUACCACAGGGCAUUUUGGAUAUUAUACAGGCAAUGCCUCAUGAUGCACACCCAAUGGGUGUACUUGUCAGUGCAAUGAGUGCUCUUUCGAUCUUUCAUCCUGACGCUAAUCCUGCUCUUAGAGGGCAAGAUCUUUACAAGUCCAAACAAGUCAGAGACAAACAAAUUGCUCGCAUUCUUGGAAAGGCACCUACUAUUGCAGCAGCAGCAUAUUUGAGGUUGGCAGGCAGGCCUCCAGUUUUGCCUUCCAGCAACCUUUCUUACGCAGAGAACUUCUUGUACAUGCUAGAUUCACUAGGUAAUCGAUCAUAUAAACCUAAUCCUCGACUUGCUCGAGUGCUAGACAUACUUUUCAUACUUCAUGCAGAGCAUGAAAUGAAUUGCUCCACUGCUGCUGCCCGGCAUCUUGCAUCAAGUGGUGUUGAUGUAUACACUGCUCUUGCUGGGGCUGUUGGAGCAUUGUAUGGACCUCUUCAUGGUGGAGCAAAUGAGGCUGUGCUUAAGAUGCUGAAUGAGAUCGGAACUGUUGAGAACAUCCCAGAUUUCAUUGAGGGUGUGAAAAACAGAAAGCGAAAGAUGUCGGGUUUUGGACAUCGGGUAUACAAAAACUAUGAUCCCAGAGCUAAAGUCAUUAAGAAGCUAGCAGAGGAAGUAUUUUCUAUUGUCGGUCGAGAUCCUCUUAUCGAGGUAGCAGUUGCUUUGGAGAAGGCUGCACUAUCUGAUGAGUAUUUCGUUACGAGGAAGCUAUAUCCAAAUGUUGAUUUCUACUCUGGAUUAAUAUAUAGAGCGAUGGGAUUUCCAACGGAGUUCUUCCCUGUUUUAUUUGCAAUUCCUCGAAUGGCUGGUUACUUGGCACACUGGCGGGAGUCACUGGAUGAUCCUGAUACAAAGAUAAUGAGACCACUACAGGUGGAAACUGGGGCAUGGCUAUAUGCCACUCAGAGAACGGAUGGAAACAAGCGAAGCAAAUAGGCUUGGUCAGGUGUCUGUUUCAAAUGCCUCCAGGCGACGACUUGCUGGAUCUGGGAUUUAGGCUCUCAUUCAAUUCAUUUAAUAUUUUAAUCUGUGAAAGCGAGGUGGAAAAUAAUAAUAAUAAUAAAUGACGUGAAUAUUACAAGGAUGAAUAAAUGUAACGUUCCUAGAAUUUUUCGUCUAAAAAUAUUUAGGCCUUUAUAGGAGCAUAAUGGUCAAAU